This 497-nucleotide ribosomal RNA is filed under the name uncultured bacterium. RNAcentral's name for it is "partial 16S ribosomal RNA". It matches the Rfam family "Bacterial small subunit ribosomal RNA", at positions 28 to 507 of the family's 1533-position model. The record is from RNAcentral.
GAUGAACGCUGGCGGCGUGCCUAAUACAUGCAAGUCGAGCGAACAGACGAUGAGCUUGCUCCUCUGACGUUAGCGGCGGACGGGUGAGUAACACGUGUAUAACCUACCUAUAAUACUGGUAUAACUUCGGGAAACCGGAGCUAAUACCGUAUAAUAUAUUGAACCGCAUGGUUCGAUAGUGAAAGACGGUGUUGGUGUCACGUAUAGAUGGAUCCGCGCCGCAUUAGAUAGUUGUUAAGGUAACGGCUUACGAAGGCAACGAUGCGUAGCCGACGGGUGAGGCUGAUAGGCCACACUGGAAGUGAGACACGGACCAGAGUACUGAGGGAGGCAGCAGUAGCGAACCUUCCGCAAUGGGGGAAAGCAUGGCGGAGCAAGGCGGAGCGAGUGAUGACGGUGCUCGGAUCGUAAAACUGUGUUAUUAGGGAAGAACAAAUGUGUAAGUAAAUAUGCACGUAUUGACGGUAACUAAUCAGAAAGCCACGGCUAACUACGUG